UACGUAGGGUGCAAGCGUUAAUCGGAAUUACUGGGCGUAAAGCGUGCGUAGGCGGUUAUGCAAGACAGAUGUGAAAUCCCCGGGCUUAACCUGGGAACUGCAUUUGUGACUGCAUAGCUCGAGUACGGCAGAGGGGGAUGGAAUUCCGCGUGUAGCAGUGAAAUGCGUAGAUAUGCGGAGGAACACCGAUGGCGAAGGCAGUCCCCUGGGCCUGUACUGACGCUCAUGCACGAAAGCGUGGGGAGCAAAUAGG
RNAcentral lists this ribosomal RNA (253 nucleotides) under uncultured bacterium. Its description in RNAcentral is "partial 16S ribosomal RNA". It matches the Rfam family "Bacterial small subunit ribosomal RNA", at positions 524 to 776 of the family's 1533-position model. The record is from RNAcentral.